GUGGAAGGACCCCGAGUCCAGGACUGGAAAGUGCGUGAUUUACAACUAGAGGGACAGGCGCUGUCCCGGAGGCUGUCCCCUAGCCCGUCCCGGGCCAGGGAGGAGGAGACGGAGGACUACAGUUCCCGACGCAACGCGGGGCGGGCGGAGAUCGUGCGCUUCCUCGGGCCGCGCCCAGUGCGCUUCGGCGCUGGUUGCACGGCCUUGGUCUCGGGUGGCGGCUCCCCUGGUCCUGUGACGGUCCCCUUGUCUUCCGACCCCUCGCUCCUCGGUCGUCUGUCCACGCCGGUCGCCGCGGCAGCCCCUGAUUCCCGAGCGACGGGUUCCCACGCCCAGCUGUGGGCACGAAGCCCAGAGCCUGGUGGAAUCCUUGGCCACCCUGCCCGCCCCUUUGCCUAUUAUCCUGCCGCCUCCAAAUCCUGUUUUUGGUAUCUCUUGGAAGAGGGUGAAAAUGGAAAGAAAAGGAAAAAAACCACUUGUAGCCGUAGUUAGUGGGUAAAUUCAGAUCUUGUUUGAACCUGGGUGUUUAUCUCCAGUCACCGUAUCGUCUUUUUAGCAAUCAUAGCUUGUCCCCAUCAAUACCUGGUUCAGAAGCCUCUCGCAGCCUCCAUCGUCUGGUUAAAAAGUCCAAAUUCAAGAGAAAGAGUGUUUGUGUUAAUGUCUAGACCUUACCAGCCAUUUCCUAGCUCCUCCGUAUGGAAACUGCAACUGAAAACACCCUUUCCAAAAAAAAAUCAAUCUACAUUUUUCUCUGGGUUUUCUUCUCCAAAUUUCACACCCCUGCCUCUCUUACACACUCUGGAUACCACCUGCUGUGGAGUGCAGGAAGCGCCAUCCAGCAACCGCUAGGUGUUCUGUCGUUGACACCCAAGCAAGACAGGCGUGUACAUAGCUGAGGACAUGCCCUUGCUUCCCUCAGACAAGUAGGCAGAAAAGAGUAAGGUUAAAAGAGAAAAAGGAGGUGAGCAGAUCCACAGAGGGAUGCAGCUACACAGUGGAAGACAGACCUUGUGACCCAUUAGGGAAAGGGGCAGCAGGUGUUAGAGAAAGAGACCUGUAGGGAUCAUGAUCAUUCCUGUGCUAGCCUCUGACUCCAGACAAAUUUAUCUUCACCAUAACUUUCCUUUUAUUUAAAAUUACUUAAAUGAGUGUUUUUCCAAAGCACAUUACUGGAGAAGACACCACCUCUCUCUCCCUCUACACCGUCGUACCCACAGGUACGAUGCACUUUUAUCAUUAGGGGAACUUGGACUUCUCACUGCUGCCCCCCUGCCUUUUCACUCUGCGAUUGUUUUCCCCUCGCCUGAAACUCACUUCCUUCCAGCUCUAGGUGUGGAAAUCCUACCUGCUCUUCCAGGUUCCGUGGUUUACCUCCGCAACCCCAAGACUCUCCCACCUUUUUUGCCCCUGAGCACUGAGUAAUUUUUAAUAACCACAUUUUGAAUUGGAUGAUAGUGACUUUUAUAUCUUAGAGAUGAGUCUUCCCUUUAAAUACUGCACAGUAGAUGUUAAAUGAAGGUUAAAAGGAGUCAAAUUUACUGCAAAUAAUUGAAGGUUGCAGUGGUGGGCUUUCAACUUGUCGCCAGAUAUCAGCAAUUUGCUCACAGCCUCAGCGCUUACCCUCAAAGUGAUUUGAAGCCAGAGGGUAAACAGGUUGCUUCUUCCUGAAACACUGAUUUUACUUAGAAACCAGACAAAAAAAAACAUUAGUUUUAAGACAAUCAGUUUGAAAUAGAAUGCAAAACUAGUAUGAUUGUUAAAGCAAAAUUUUCUUCAACCUGAGGAAGCUGAUUGAGAAAAGAAAAAAUGGGUAAAGCAGCAUUUGAAAGGACUUUCAUGACUUCCACCCUGCAGUUGCCCUCUGUAAAGGAGGACGAGCCCACUCUGCCUUGUGGGUUUGUGAAUGCCUGGUAGCUGUAACUGUUGCUCACAUGAGAAGCUUCCUGUUGCUUCCAAGACAGGAUGAGGAAGAAGGCAGAACUGUAGCUGGAUGUCCACAGUUGGAAGGUCCUCACUUUGAACUGUGUCCGCACAGCACCAGUGGCAGACAGCGGCAGCCGCUCACC
Long non-coding RNA from Cebus imitator (Panamanian white-faced capuchin), 2066 nucleotides. RefSeq lists it as uncharacterized. Lineage: Eukaryota; Metazoa; Chordata; Mammalia; Primates; Cebidae. The transcript is spliced from 3 exons. The record is from RefSeq and is a predicted model, not a curated record.